RNAcentral lists this transfer RNA (67 nucleotides) under Ceroplastes japonicus. RNAcentral's name for it is "tRNA-Met". Lineage: Eukaryota; Metazoa; Arthropoda; Insecta; Hemiptera; Coccidae. The record is from RNAcentral.
AGAAAAAUAAGCUAAAUUAAAGCUAUUGAACUCAUAAUUCAAUAAUAGAAUCAAAUUCUUUUUUCUA